UCUUCUGAUCUGCAGGAAUAUAUG
RNAcentral lists this non-coding RNA (24 nucleotides) under Cricetulus griseus (Chinese hamster). Lineage: Eukaryota; Metazoa; Chordata; Mammalia; Rodentia; Cricetidae. The record is from RNAcentral.